Molecule: ribosomal RNA, 450 nt
Filed under: uncultured bacterium
Lineage: Bacteria
Description: partial 16S ribosomal RNA
Rfam family: Bacterial small subunit ribosomal RNA
Source: RNAcentral
GUGGGGAAUAUUGGACAAUGGGCGCAAGCCUGAUCCAGCCAUACCGCGUGGGUGAAGAAGGCCUUCGGGUUGUAAAGCCCUUUUGUUGGGAAAGAAAUCCUAUCGAUUAAUACUCGGUGGGGAUGACGGUACCCAAAGAAUAAGCACCGGCUAACUUCGUGCCAGCAGCCGCGGUAAUACGAAGGGUGCAAGCGUUACUCGGAAUUACUGGGCGUAAAGCGUGCGUAGGUGGUUGUUUAAGUCUGCUGUGAAAGCCCUGGGCUCAACCUGGGAAUUGCAGUGGAUACUGGGCAACUAGAGUGUGGUAGAGGGAUGCGGAAUUUCUGGUGUAGCAGUGAAAUGCGUAGAGAUCAGAAGGAACAUCCGUGGCGAAGGCGGCAUCCUGGGCCAACACUGACACUGAGGCACGAAAGCGUGGGGAGCAAACAGGAUUAGAUACCCUUGUAGUCC